Molecule: ribosomal RNA, 253 nt
Filed under: uncultured bacterium
Lineage: Bacteria
Description: partial 16S ribosomal RNA
Rfam family: Bacterial small subunit ribosomal RNA
Source: RNAcentral
GACAGAGGUGCCGAGCGUUAGGCGGAAUCACUGGGCUUAAAGCGUGUGUAGGCGGACCGUUAAGUACCUUGUGAAAUCCCACGGCUCAACCGUGGAACGGCCGGGUAUACUGGCGGUCUUGGGCCACCUAGGGGCGAGCGGAACAAGCGGUGGAGCGGUGAAAUGCGUAGAUAUCGCUUGGAACGUCGACGGUGAAAACAGCUCGCUGGGGGUGUGCCGACGCUGAGACACGAAAGCCAGGGGAGCGAACGGG